GGGGGUGUAGCUCAGCUGGGAGAGCACUGCCUUGCACGCAAGGGGUCAGGAGUUCGAUCCUCCUCAUCUCCACCA
Molecule: transfer RNA, 75 nt
Filed under: Paraclostridium bifermentans
Lineage: Bacteria; Bacillati; Bacillota; Clostridia; Peptostreptococcales; Peptostreptococcaceae
Description: tRNA-Ala
Rfam family: tRNA
About the family: Transfer RNA (tRNA) molecules are approximately 80 nucleotides in length.
Source: RNAcentral